This 253-nucleotide ribosomal RNA is filed under the name uncultured bacterium. RNAcentral's name for it is "partial 16S ribosomal RNA". It matches the Rfam family "Bacterial small subunit ribosomal RNA", at positions 524 to 776 of the family's 1533-position model. The record is from RNAcentral.
UACGUAGGGGGCGAGCGUUGUCCGGAAUCAUUGGGCGUAAAGCGCGCGCAGGCGGCCUCUUAAGUCUGGUGUGAAAGCCCACGGCUCAACCGUGGAGGGCCAUUGGAAACUGGGAGGCUUGAGUGCAGGAGAGGAGAGUGGAAUUCCUGGUGUAGCGGUGAAAUGCGUAGAGAUCAGGAGGAACACCGAUGGCGAAGGCAGCUCUCUGGCCUGUAACUGACGCUGAGGCGCGAAAGCGUGGGGAGCAAACAGG